AGAGUUUGAUCCUGGCUCAGGAUGAACGCUGGCGGUAUGCUUAACACAUGCAAGUCGAACGGUCUCUUCGGAGAUAGUGGCGGACGGGUGAGUAACGCGUGAGAAUCUGGCUCUAGGUCUGGGACAACAGAUGGAAACGUCUGCUAAUACCGGAUGUGCCGAGAGGUGAAAGGCUUGCUGCCUAGAGAUGAGCUCGCGUCAGAUUAGCUAGUAGGUGGGGUAAAGGCCUACCUAGGCGACGAUCUGUAGCUGGUCUGAGAGGACGAUCAGCCACACUGGGACUGAGACACGGCCCAGACUCCUACGGGAGGCAGCAGUGGGGAAUUUUCCGCAAUGGGCGAAAGCCUGACGGAGCAAUACCGCGUGAGGGAGGAAGGCUCUUGGGUUGUAAACCUCUUUUCUCAAGGAAUAAGAAUGAAGGUACUUGAGGAAUAAGCAUCGGCUAACUCCGUGCCAGCAGCCGCGGUAAUACGGAGGAUGCAAGCGUUAUCCGGAAUGAUUGGGCGUAAAGCGUCCGUAGGUGGUUUUGUGUGUCUGCUGUCAAAGCGUGCGGCUUAACCGCAUAAGGGCGGUGGAAACUACAAGACUAGAGUGCGUUCGGGGCAG
This 606-nucleotide ribosomal RNA is filed under the name uncultured bacterium. RNAcentral describes it as "bacterial SSU rRNA". It matches the Rfam family "Bacterial small subunit ribosomal RNA", at positions 8 to 660 of the family's 1533-position model. The record is from RNAcentral.